RNAcentral lists this ribosomal RNA (459 nucleotides) under uncultured bacterium. RNAcentral's name for it is "partial 16S ribosomal RNA". It matches the Rfam family "Bacterial small subunit ribosomal RNA", at positions 338 to 795 of the family's 1533-position model. The record is from RNAcentral.
CCUACGGGAGGCAGCAGUGAGGAAUAUUGGUCAAUGGGCGGGAGCCUGAACCAGCCAAGCCGCGUGAGGGAAGAAGGUACAGCGUAUCGUAAACUUCUUUUGUCAGGGCACAAAGGCGGGGACUACUCCCCGGAUGAGGGUACCUGAAGAACAAGCAUCGGCUAACUCCGUGCCAGCAGCAGCGGUAAUACGGGGGAUGCGAGCGGUAUCCGGGUUUAUUGGGUUUAAGGGGUGCGCAGGCGGCCUGUUAAGUGAGCGGUACAAGCCCGGGGCUAAACCCCGGCGAGCCGUUGAAACUGGCGGGCUGGAGUUGGAGAGAGGUACGCGGAAUGUGUGGUGUAGCGGUGAAAUGCUUAGAUAUCGCGCAGAACCCCGGUUGCGAAGGCGGCGUACUGGCUCCACACUGACGCUGAGGCGCGAAAGCGUGGGUAUCGAACAGGAUUAGAUACCCGUGUAGUC